Molecule: non-coding RNA, 232 nt
Organism: Callorhinus ursinus (northern fur seal)
Lineage: Eukaryota; Metazoa; Chordata; Mammalia; Carnivora; Otariidae
Source: RefSeq, a predicted model, not a curated record
CUGAGCCGCUCCUGGAAACCAGGCGUGGGGCUGAGCGCUGGGGUGACCGUGGGAAGACCCUGUGGACCUAGGGGAACCCGAGGCUUCAGGCGGUGCCGGCUGUGGGGACUGUGGAUGGUGGCUGGGGAAGAGACCAGAGGAAGGGGACUGGCAUCAAGUAGUCCAUCAAUAUGAUUGACUACUUUGACAGACUUUCUUGAGCAUAAAACCAACCUUGCAUUCCUGGAAUAAA